CUUCUCGUGGAGUAGUUGGAAACGCGCCUAUCUAGUGAAUAGUAGUCGUGAGUUCGAGUUUCACCGAGACAA
This is a non-coding RNA of Aedes albopictus (Asian tiger mosquito), 72 nucleotides long. The record is from Rfam. NCBI's taxonomy places the organism in Eukaryota, Metazoa, Arthropoda, Insecta, Diptera, Culicidae.